Molecule: ribosomal RNA, 50 nt
Filed under: uncultured archaeon
Lineage: Archaea
Description: partial 23S ribosomal RNA
Source: RNAcentral
AGUUUAAACCCACCAGUGAAUGGCUCGGUUCAAGUGCCGAUGAAGGGCGC